Molecule: ribosomal RNA, 246 nt
Filed under: uncultured Pseudomonadota bacterium
Lineage: Bacteria; Pseudomonadati; Pseudomonadota
Description: uncultured proteobacterium partial 16S ribosomal RNA
Rfam family: Bacterial small subunit ribosomal RNA
Source: RNAcentral
CACGCCGUAAACGAUGAGAACUAGGCGUUGGGGAGCUUGUCUCCUUAGUGCCGCAGCUAACGCGUUAAGUUCUCCGCCUGGGGAGUACGGUCGCAAGAUUAAAACUCAAAGGAAUUGACGGGGGCCCGCACAAGCGGUGGAGCAUGUGGUUUAAUUCGAUGCAACGCGAAGAACCUUACCUACCCUUGACAUGUCAGGAAUCUUCCAGAAAUGGAGGAGUGCCUUCGGGAACCUGAACACAGGUGC